This 311-nucleotide long non-coding RNA is filed under the name Monodelphis domestica (gray short-tailed opossum). RNAcentral's name for it is "lncRNA (ENSMODG00000034482.2)". Lineage: Eukaryota; Metazoa; Chordata; Mammalia; Didelphimorphia; Didelphidae. The record is from RNAcentral.
UACUUCCCUCUCAGGCAGAGCUGUUCUAGAGAAAAUGGAGUUGAAUCUCUGACCAUAGCUGAAAGGUGACUUGAAUGGAAUUUACUGCUUAGUAAGUACUUGUUGGAUUGGAUUGGACCCAGAGAUUUCUUCAACUUGCCAAAGGCAUUCUGGACCAAAGAAAACCUGGAACAAAGGAGCAGCAAGAGACUGUCACAGAGGGAAAAUUGACAAACCAGAAAAACACUGGAUUGAAGGACUAUUAUAGUCAGGUAUGCUCACCAUUGAUAACCUAAGAGGAAGCUAUGAAGAUUCAAAGGUUUAAUAAGUAG